Molecule: ribosomal RNA, 327 nt
Filed under: uncultured bacterium
Lineage: Bacteria
Description: bacterial SSU rRNA
Rfam family: Bacterial small subunit ribosomal RNA
Source: RNAcentral
AACGAACGCUGGCGGCGUGGAUAAGACAUGCAAGUCGAACGGGAACUCUUUCCGUAGCAAUACGGAGAGAGUUUUUAGUGGCGAACGGGUGCGUAACACGUGGGCAAUCUGCCGAGAAGUGGGGGAUAGCUCGCCGAAAGGCGAAUUAAUACCGCAUAUGAUCAGUGAAGACAUCUUCACGACAUCAAAGACCGGGGCGAACCUCGGCGGCUUCUUGAUGAGCCCGCCGGCCUAUCAGCUAGUUGGUGAGGUAACGGCUCACCAAGGCUAUGACGGGUAGCUGGUCUGAGAGGACGACCAGUCACACUGGAACUGAGACACGGUCCA